UACGUAGGUGGCAAGCGUUGUCCGGAAUUACUGAGCGUAAAGGGCGUGUAGGCGGCCUUUUAAGUCAGAUGUGAAAUCCCAAGGCUUAACAUUGGAACUGCAUUUGAAACUGGAAGGCUUGAGGAUCGGAGAGGGCAGUGGAAUUCCCAGUGUAGCGGUGAAAUGCGUAGAUAUUGGGAGGAACACCAGUGGCGAAGGCGACUGCCUGGACGACACCUGACGCUGAGGCGCGAAAGCUAGGGGAGCAGACGGGAUUAGAUACCCCGGUAGUCCUAGCCGUAAACGAUGGGUACUAGGUGUGGGAGGUAUCGACCCCUUCCGUGCCGCAGUUAACACAAUAAGUACCCCGCCUGGGGAGUACGGCCGCAAGGUUGAA
RNAcentral lists this ribosomal RNA (376 nucleotides) under uncultured bacterium. Its description in RNAcentral is "bacterial SSU rRNA". It matches the Rfam family "Bacterial small subunit ribosomal RNA", at positions 524 to 898 of the family's 1533-position model. The record is from RNAcentral.